Molecule: long non-coding RNA, 1960 nt
Organism: Pipra filicauda (Wire-tailed manakin)
Lineage: Eukaryota; Metazoa; Chordata; Aves; Passeriformes; Pipridae
Exons: 2
Source: RefSeq, a predicted model, not a curated record
UGUUAUUGUUGUUGUUACUUCUUUUUUAAGAGUAGAUAGAAAAAGAGCUGACUUCCACUCUAUGCCUUGAAAAAAUGAGCCCCCAGAUCUUUAGUAAGCCCAAGGCUCUACCAGCUCUUUGCAGGAAAAAGUAGCGCUGGAGUUUCGUUAAGAUCCGUCCGAACUUUUUCAGAUUUUGACCCAAAGAACUCAUAUUUAAUUGUGGGUUUCGGUCGUUUGGAGGAUUUGAUUGUUGGUGGGGGGGAUUUUUUUUUAAGAUCUCUAAUAUUCUGUCCCCUUCCCAACACAGUGUCUGCCCGUGGCUCUUAUCCCAAGACGAUGGAGCCGACGGCACCGCCUGCCUCCCUGUAUUCCUCUGCCCUGCCCAUACACCCUGUGUGACCGUGGCCCCGCUCCCACGUGGAACAUCGCGCGUUUAGCCGAGAUCUGCGGAAAGGAAAGCUUAGUUCAAAUGCGUUUUUACCCUCCUAGUCUUCCCUUUGCCUGGGGAACACAGAAUGUUUCCCGUACGAAUACAGCAAAUGUAUUUUAUUUUACUUUUUGGAGACUUUAUUCCACCGUCUCUUUGAAAAAAUAAACAAAUCUUCUCCUGCCCGAGGAGGAGCCAGGAGACCUCCUCACCCUUUCUUGCUGUAACCCUUCUAAGUCGUUUGAAAUGAAUUUUCCUGUCUUUCGGCCAUCUGUCAAUGUCACAUCCACGCUGCCUGCGCGGGGUGUGGAUAAGCAGAGGGCAGGUGGGAAGAGUCCUUGCGCGUUUCUGGUCCCGCGUGAAGGGGUCUUCCUCCCCACGCCGCUGCCCCACUGACCCACCCUCCGUUCUAUUCCCCUUGGCCCCACCACCAGUACGGCUCCGGGGGGCCAGCUGUGACUUCGGGAGGAUUUUGUACUGCCGCCGGCUCGUGACGUGAGGCGUCUUUUGGGUGAGCGGUCAUGCUUCUUCCGCUCGGGAGGAGCACCGGGGCCGUCUGUUCGGGUGGGGCGAGAAGAGAGGGCAAGCUGCAGGGGGGACCUAAGGACGUAGCCUUCCUCCUGAAACCUCACUCGUCACUGUAGUCUUCGUCGUCAGCGAAGGGAGGACUAACUGACGAUGCCGCGAAAAUUUUUGCGCUGCCGAGGGAAGAGAAAGAUGGGAGAGAAAAACAAGUCCAAACUCCUAUGCUGGUGACAAUGCUUCGGCAAACGGAGUGCUCGUCUGUCUGUCGUGAAACCCCCGAGGAGGAGAGGGAGUGUGCCUUGGCCUCUGAGCGUCCCUCUGCCCCGGCGGGGAGGCUGGGACGCGGGGCGAGUGGGUUUUCAGCACCUCCUAAUUACAGCCUAACACCUAUUGAGAGAGAGAGAGAGACUCCACAAAGAUCCCACGGAGCCAAAUCCGAGUAAUCCUAUCCAAAAUCCCUAAUAAAGUUUAUCAAUUAGACCACUCAAACUCCUUCGGAUUCAUCCCACUGAGAAAGAAGCUGCCACGUCUCUAAGAAAAUUAGCUUGAACGAGCAAUUCAGUAUUAUUCCUAUCGCGUUUUGCUUGCAAAGCAGCGUCUGGUGGUUCAGUUUUUACUAUUACUUUUCCCCCCGUCUCAUAGGCCAGUUUUCCUCAAGGUAUCGCAGGAAUGAUGCAAACGAUAGAAGAUUCCCAGUUCUACUAAAAACAAUAAUAACGGCAUCAACAGCACUUGCGAUGAUCCCACAGCAGACUGGUGAUUUAAAGCCUGAUUAACUCUUUGUUGGUUUCACCUCCUACAGUAACUUUUAAAACAUCUGUCCUGCGGAAAGAGAAUUUCUUCUGCGCAAAAGUGACGUUUAGUCUUUAAAUACGGGGGUUAUAAUGGAGCCCUAAAAAGGCGAGAAGUGAUUUUGGGAAAUAUUGUAUACAUGCGCACUAUUUAGCGUUAUCAAUCUUUACCUCGGCUAUUGACACUUGCCUUGGAAAUAAUAAUAAUAAUAAAAAUUACACAGAAUUGAAAAGA